CCAGCCUCCCUAGUAGCUGGGAUUACAGGCAUGAACCACCACACCUAGCUAAUUUUGUAUUUUUAGUAGAGAUGGGGUUUUUCCAUGUUGGUCAUGCUUGUCUUGAACUCCCAAUCUCAGGUGAUCUGUCCUUCUCCACCUCCCAAAGUGUUGGGAUUACAGGUGUGAGGCCUCCCAUAUACCUUUUAUAGCUUGUUUUAUUCAAUUGCAUGCAAUCAGUACUCACACACUACAUUUAGUUGUUUUGUCCAUUCAUAUAUACAUAUAUAUGUGUGCAUGUAUAUAUACACACAUAUACACAUGUAAAUACACAUAUACAUAUAUACACAUAUAAAUAUAUACAUACUUAACAGUCAAGGUCUGUUGUCAUUUGGAUUGUCCCACCUUCUAGAUUUGUUGCCUCACGGGAUCAUUCUUAACCUGCGUUUUUCCUUGGAUGUUAGAACCUAAGGCAAGGCCUAUAUGCUACAACUCUCCUUGGAAGUGCAGGACUAGGGAGGAGUGGGUGUGUAUAGUUCAUAAUGAGGCAGGGAAGGGGAGUGAGGCGAUAUGAGUGUGUGUUAUUAUGCUACCCAUUCUCUACUAUUAACUAGGUUUGCUACUUUAUCUUAUGUGAUCAUCUGAAAGAGCAUGUCAAUGGCUGUUUUUUAGGAUGCUCUGUUUCAAGGAGACAACAGGGAAGAAUGUGUCCACUGGCUUUCAUAUUCCACUGAUGCAAGAGUCAUGUGCACUCUACAGAAUGUGAAUCCUGCCUUCCUUUCAGUUUGCGCAUGAGCCAGCCUGGACCUGGCUGCAGAGUUUCACACCUCUGUCUAGGGGGAAGCUCGGGAUGAGAAGCAGCACUGUAGGGUACUGCCCACAUAAAGUCUACUGGAGCACAGCCAGACUUGGUUUCUGCAAGGAGGCCUGGAGCUGAACACAAUGUCCCUGGAGACAGGUUGAAGCCCCAAAGCCAUUCCUGCAGACGCUCCUGGACACAUCUGAAGACAAACAAGGAGGGACCAGCUGAUUGCAGACCGUCAGGGGCUGAGCUAAUGAAGCUGCUGCCAUUUUGACCGUUGCCAACCAUGAUACCAGAGGGAAAGGAAAUGUGGUGAGCUUUGUCUCUUAAAGCUUCUGUCCAAAAGUACCCCAAGUCACUUCUCACAUUUCAGUACCCCAAGUCACAUGGAUGUAUUUACUUCUAGAGGUGGGAGAGUGCCAUCUUCUUAUGGGCCAGGAAGAGAGAAAAACAAAAGGUGUGUGAUCACGCUGAUAACUAGCACAGAAUUACUCUAAUAAGCUUAUGAAAGCUGUGGACUCUCUCUCCCACAAUAUGCACAGAUGUACACAUUGCUGAUACAAUUUCAUUUCAAUUUCAAGUGGUUCACAGACAUCCUGAAGCCCAUAUACUGAUUCUGUAAAGAUUCAACUACAGGAUGAGAAUUGUAGUUCCAAAUUAUAUUCUCAUUGCUAAUUUCUCUACCAAUAUUUACCUAUGAGUUUUCUCGCUCUCUUGCUCUCUUAAAAGCAAUCUCAGUUCUUUUCACUUACUAUGUAAAGUACUGUAAGAAUCUAAACAGUAGUAGACUCUGGGAAUGUAUUCUAGAGCAGCAUAAUCUAGCACAGUAAGUGAAACUGUCACUUGACAAUACUAUCACUUCUUAGUGAUGUGAUUAGUCAAAUUGUCAAUGAGAUUGGAGCAAAUUACUUAACAUUAUGCAUCUCAAUUUUGUCUCCUCUAAAAUAGAGAUUCUAGAACCUUCUUCACAGGGUUGUUGACCAUUUAAAUUGAUGGAUAUUUAUGGGUUAGGACCAAUAUGUACUUUAUCCCCUAUAACUUCGCAAAUUUGGGUGGCAUUGUGUAGGUAUGGGGUGGAGAAACAUGGUGAUACUCGUGUAAGCUUAAAGGGUUAUUAGAAGAAGGUGGUCUUGUGUAAACACAAAAGACACAGGCUGUGUCCCUCCUGCUAAUUUAUGGCCGAGUUGAGUUGCAGGAGCAAACAAAUAAGACCAUUGAAAACUGAAAGAAAUCAUAAGCCUAGUAUGGAUCACUGCCAAGUGAUUACUUCAGAAAAUAAGUGCUUUAAAUUCAGACAAGGAGAAGAUUGCUAUUAGUAGGAGGGAUCAUGGGAAGACUUUGCAGAAGAGGUGAGUUUUGAACUUGAAGGACUGAAUUUGGGUUGGUGGUGUAGAGGAGGCAGCCAUUUUGCUCAGAGGGAAUGAUGGAACAAAGCACAGGAAUUAAAUGAGAUGUUGCAAUGUGAACAUACAUGGGCUUGUUGAGCUUCUGGGAAAUGUCCCUCAGGAUUGUAAUGACCGGGCUCAGGGCAGAAGUUGGGGAGUAGGGGAUUAGGCACUGGGGCACUUGGAAGGGGCUUGGUGUGGACAAAGAUGAGAUC
Callithrix jacchus (white-tufted-ear marmoset) is the source of this 2381-nucleotide long non-coding RNA. RefSeq lists it as uncharacterized. The record is from RefSeq and is a predicted model, not a curated record. Lineage: Eukaryota; Metazoa; Chordata; Mammalia; Primates; Cebidae.